RNAcentral lists this ribosomal RNA (253 nucleotides) under uncultured bacterium. RNAcentral's name for it is "partial 16S ribosomal RNA". It matches the Rfam family "Bacterial small subunit ribosomal RNA", at positions 524 to 776 of the family's 1533-position model. The record is from RNAcentral.
UACGUAGGGGGCUAGCGUUGCUCGGAAUGACUGGGCGUAAAGGGCGCGUAGGCGGAGUGCUUUGUCAGGCGUGAAAUUCCAGGGCUUAACCUUGGGGCUGCGUUUGAGACGGGCAUUCUUGAGUAUGGAAGAGGGUCGUGGAAUUCCCAGUGUAGAGGUGAAAUUCGUAGAUAUUGGGAAGAACACCGGUGGCGAAGGCGGCGACCUGGUCCAUGACUGACGCUGAGGCGCGAAAGCGUGGGGAGCAAACAGG